RNAcentral lists this ribosomal RNA (806 nucleotides) under human gut metagenome. Its description in RNAcentral is "bacterial SSU rRNA". It matches the Rfam family "Bacterial small subunit ribosomal RNA", at positions 95 to 896 of the family's 1533-position model. The record is from RNAcentral.
GUGGCGAACGGGUGAGUAAUACAUCGGAACGUGUCCGCUCGUGGGGGACAACCAGCCGAAAGGUUGGCUAAUACCGCAUGAGUUCUACGGAAGAAAGAGGGGGACCCGCAAGGGCCUCUCGCGAGCGGAGCGGCCGAUGACUGAUUAGCCGGUUGGUGAGGUAACGGCUCACCAAAGCAACGAUCAGUAGCUGGUCUGAGAGGACGACCAGCCACACUGGAACUGAGACACGGUCCAGACUCCUACGGGAGGCAGCAGUGGGGAAUUUUGGACAAUGGGCGCAAGCCUGAUCCAGCUAUUCCGCGUGUGGGAUGAAGGCCCUCGGGUUGUAAACCACUUUUGUAGAGAACGAAAAGACAUCUUCGAAUAAAGGAUGUUGCUGACGGUACUCUAAGAAUAAGCACCGGCUAACUACGUGCCAGCAGCCGCGGUAAUACGUAGGGUGCGAGCGUUAAUCGGAAUUACUGGGCGUAAAGGGUGCGCAGGCGGUUGAGUAAGACAGAUGUGAAAUCCCCGAGCUUAACUCGGGAAUGGCAUAUGUGACUGCUCGACUAGAGUGUGUCAGAGGGAGGUGGAAUUCCACGUGUAGCAGUGAAAUGCGUAGAUAUGUGGAAGAACACCGAUGGCGAAGGCAGCCUCCUGGGACAUAACUGACGCUCAGGCACGAAAGCGUGGGGAGCAAACAGGAUUAGAUACCCUGGUAGUCCACGCCCUAAACGAUGUUAACUAGUUGUUGGGAUGUAACAAUCUCAGUAACGCAGCCAACGCGAGAAGUUAACCGCCUGGGAAGUACGGUCGCAAGACUA